This is a long non-coding RNA of Gallus gallus (chicken), 1156 nucleotides long. Lineage: Eukaryota; Metazoa; Chordata; Aves; Galliformes; Phasianidae. The record is from Ensembl.
CGGAAAAUUUCUAGCGCCGUUGCCUACGUUUGAGUUCAAAGCUCCUAACAAAUACCCCCUGCGUGAGGAAAGCUGUGGUCCCAGUGGCAAUUGUCCAGGACAGACGAGGAGGGGACAACACCAACAACUGCAGCGGCACAGUGCACACGCAGACUGAUGCUCAACACAUACAAUGGGAGCUCAGAAUUCCAACCAAUUCACUCCCAGGCACAGCACUCUCUUCAGACUGACUACAUCUGCCAGAAUGCUGGUGGAUGCUGAGCAUUUCGGCAUCAAAAUCAAGGAGGCAGGAAAAGGGCUUUGCUUUGGGUGCCGCUGCUCUGCCCUUCAACUUCUGUUGAGAAGGAACAUACUGCUCUGCAGCUUGCACCAAGCACAGUGUCACACCCUCAUACUCCUCAACAUGCUCCCUCACCGUGGGUAGCAGAAAUAUGUCCUGAAAAUGGGUCCAUCUAACAGAAGCAGCCAUGUUACGGCCACACGAGCUCAGUGUGGUGUGCAAUCAGCACUAACUUCGUGAUGAAAACAUGCCUGGGGUUUCCUGGUGAGCUCUGAGACAGUAGUGCAGACCCAUAACAUUAAGGAAUAACAGCAAUACAGCAUUAAUAUCACCCUAAGUCAUUUCCUAGAACAAACCAGUCCACAGCAAGGAUGGGUCCUCAGGCAGGGAUUUGCUCCUGGAGGAGCUCAUAUGCAGAAGAAAGACAAAGUUUGUUAUUGUUACUGCGUCCCCGCCAGAACCCUGGUAAUCCACCGCAGCACAAAGCACAUCUCAAGGCCAGGCUGCCCUCAUUACUCUUGUAUAACCCCUCUAAAAAAAGUGAAAACAAUAAAUCAGCGGAAUUGCCAAAGCAGGAAGAUGGAUUUCAGCUGGCAGAGGUUUGAUAACACAGUUGCUAACACAGCGUAAUUCUAUUUGGGUAUGUCUGUGUAAUGGCACGUGCAGUGCUGCAGAGGACAUGGAAAGGGACUGACAUCUUUGUUGGUGCACCAGAAGGAACAGAGUAAGGAACUGCUCCCAGGCUGCAAGGAUCAAUCUAUUCAGCCGUUGGUCUUUCUUCCCCCAGUGCCUGUUUUUUGCCCUCUGCUUCUUUUUCUCACCCAGGAAUCAGAAAAACAGCAACAGGGUGAACCUGUUUGCUGCUCGGGACUCUCC